Molecule: ribosomal RNA, 253 nt
Filed under: uncultured bacterium
Lineage: Bacteria
Description: partial 16S ribosomal RNA
Rfam family: Bacterial small subunit ribosomal RNA
Source: RNAcentral
UACGAAGGGUGCAAACGUUGCUCGGAAUUAUUGGGCGUAAAGCGCACGUAGGCGGCUCUAUAAGUCGGAUGUGAAAUCCCUCGGCUUAACCAAGGAAGUGCAUCCGAAACUGCAGAGCUUGAGUACUUAAGAGGAUCGCGGAAUUCCCGGUGUAGAGGUGAAAUUCGUAGAUAUCGGGAGGAACACCAGUGGCGAAGGCGGCGAUCUGGGAAGAUACUGACGCUGAGGUGCGAAAGCGUGGGGAGCAAACAGG